GGCGGGGUAGUUCAGUUGGUUAGAACAUUGGAAUCAUAAUCCAAUUGUCGGGGGUUCAAGUCCCUCCUUCGUCA
This 74-nucleotide transfer RNA is filed under the name Nitzschia sp. PL3-2. RNAcentral's name for it is "tRNA-eMet". It matches the Rfam family "tRNA". From Rfam's summary of the family: Transfer RNA (tRNA) molecules are approximately 80 nucleotides in length. Their secondary structure includes four short double-helical elements and three loops (D, anti-codon, and T loops). The record is from RNAcentral. RNAcentral also lists the same sequence under 2 other names. Lineage: Eukaryota; Bacillariophyta; Bacillariophyceae; Bacillariales; Bacillariaceae.